GCUGCUGCUGCUUUUCCGGAUGGGGGAGAUGGACGGAAGGCUUUCGGAGGCGGAGGGUUUUGAUCUUUUGGAAGGCCGCCGAAUUUUCAGAGGGUCCCGGCGGCGCCCGCUCUCCGACACCGCCCGGUGGGGCCACGAGCACGUAGAUCGACCGCAGAGACAGGAGAGAGAGAUAGGCGAGUGUAAAAAGUGACAGCAAGAGAAUUGGUUGUGUGUAAGUUAUUACUGAUUACUGAAGGACGAGUGAGUGAGUGAGUGAAUUCUAUUUUUUUUUUGCGGAAGGAGUGAAUUCUUUACUUAACUGCGCCAGACACUGUAUGUAGUCGUCAUGUCAUAGUACUCCUACGUACGUACUCCUU
Molecule: long non-coding RNA, 359 nt
Filed under: Hordeum vulgare
Lineage: Eukaryota; Viridiplantae; Streptophyta; Magnoliopsida; Poales; Poaceae
Description: long non-coding RNA (HVUL_LNC002285)
Source: RNAcentral